RNAcentral lists this ribosomal RNA (260 nucleotides) under Microbacterium sp. ISO231_OTU1061. RNAcentral describes it as "partial 16S ribosomal RNA". It matches the Rfam family "Bacterial small subunit ribosomal RNA", at positions 29 to 289 of the family's 1533-position model. Lineage: Bacteria; Bacillati; Actinomycetota; Actinomycetes; Micrococcales; Microbacteriaceae. RNAcentral also lists the same sequence under 1 other name. The record is from RNAcentral.
AUGAACGCUGGCGGCGUGCUUAACACAUGCAAGUCGAACGGUGAAAGAGAGCUUGCUCUCUGGAUCAGUGGCGAACGGGUGAGUAACACGUGAGCAAUCUGCCCCUGACUCUGGGAUAAGCGCUGGAAACGGCGUCUAAUACCGGAUACGAGCUGCGAAGGCAUCUUCAGCAGCUGGAAAGAACUUCGGUCAGGGAUGAGCUCGCGGCCUAUCAGCUAGUUGGUGAGGUAAUGGCUCACCAAGGCGUCGACGGGUAGCCG